Molecule: long non-coding RNA, 447 nt
Filed under: Drosophila guanche
Lineage: Eukaryota; Metazoa; Arthropoda; Insecta; Diptera; Drosophilidae
Source: RNAcentral
AAAAAAGAUUCGGUCUCUAAAAAUACGAGAAAGUUUAUUCUGAAUAACUUGAUUCUGCAAUCAACUCUAAUAAAAUCAAUAACAUCAGUCUUCUUAAGCAAUGGUAAGACAACACCUUUUUUGUGAGUACAUUUAAAUUUAAUAUGUGUCCCCCACGAUACCCCGUCGUUACAUGUGUAGGCUCCUACAACCGGUACAUACACCAAUAAAAUUCACUAUGUCAAAAAGCAGAUCCUCGAAAAGGUAACUAUGAAGCAAUAUGCACAAGUUUUUAUACUGCCCAUGGACAGAAGAAACCGAGAUAUUGCGGGACUCAAAAAUCCCAUGGACCUGGGCACAAUCACUAUUCGUGUGCAGAAACGGCGCUAUCGAAAUGAAGAUGAACUGAUUUUCGAUCUCAAACUUGUCUAUCAGAAUUGGCUUUCGUUGAAGAGGGAAAGUGCAAUC